This 253-nucleotide ribosomal RNA is filed under the name uncultured bacterium. RNAcentral's name for it is "partial 16S ribosomal RNA". It matches the Rfam family "Bacterial small subunit ribosomal RNA", at positions 524 to 776 of the family's 1533-position model. The record is from RNAcentral.
GACAGAGGGGGCAAGCGUUGCUCGGAAUCACUGGGCGUAAAGGGCGCGUAGGCGGGAUGGCAAGUCAGUCGUGAAAUCUCUCGGCUCAACCGAGAAACGUCGGCUGAUACUGCCGUUCUUGAGGGAUGCAGAGGAGACUGGAAUUCCCGGUGUAGCGGUGAAAUGUGUAGAGAUCGGGAGGAACACCGAUGGCGAAGGCAGUUCUCUGGGCCGUAACUGACGCUGAGGAGCGAAAGCGUGGGGAGCGAACAGG